This is a non-coding RNA of Phoenix dactylifera (date palm), 2892 nucleotides long. The record is from RefSeq and is a predicted model, not a curated record. NCBI's taxonomy places the organism in Eukaryota, Viridiplantae, Streptophyta, Magnoliopsida, Arecales, Arecaceae.
UCCCACCCCCCUUCCCACUCCGUUCAAAUCUUCUCUCGUAUGUAUACCCUCCGAAGCCCCUCAUUCCCCUCCCACUCCAUUCAAAUCUUCUCUCCUCCUUUAUUUCUAUAUAUAAAUCCUCUCCGCUCUCCCUUCUCUUCUCCGUCGGGAGCUCCCUCUAGACAAAGAUAAGGAGAAGGCAAAGAGGAGGAGGCCAAGAAGCGGAGGAGAAAGAAAAUAAUCUAACGUGGGGCCCGUCCCCUCGACGUCAAACGCAUAAAAAUUUCUAUACGGACUCGCCUCUACCGUCCAUGGCGUCCGACGUGGAAAACAGAACGGCGGAUCGGAGACCGCACGGAAAUUUAAUACGCGCAUUUAGAAAUUGUUUAUCGGCAAGCGCCUCAGGCUGUACAGAGAGAAAGAGGAGAAAAAAUUGCCAAGUUUUCGAGAGAUUUCCUUAACCUAUAUGUUCAUGGUGACAAGGAGGGAUUCUUUCAUCGUGCAGAAGCUGAAGCAAAGCGACUUUCUAACACUGGUUGUUGUCCCAACCUUUAUAACAGACAUGAAAUGCUUUUGGAGUAAAUAUUCUACACACCAUUGGCUAUGUGUAUGCAAGACAAGCAGCAAAAGAGCUUGGGAAGAAUGUCUUGUAUCUAGGGGUGCCAUUUUUGACAGAAUGGGUGCUUUGCAAUUGUUGCAACUGCAAGAAGACAUCUGCUGCCAAAUCAACAAAGUUGGUUCUGGUACUGAAAAAGAUGUUGAGUUACAUGUCCGGAUGAACAAGGGCUUGCUGAUGAACUCGCUAUGGAAACUGAAUGCAGUAGAUAUUGAAGUAACACUUUUACAUGUAUGCCAAAUGGAAAGCUACUAGUUGUGUUUGGCUUGGUCCACAUGUGGCCUUAUUUUGAUCCCGAGUAUGAAAGUCUUGCCCGACUUAUGAAUCUUGCAAGGCCUUCUCUCUCUCAACACCAUGGCGCUGGGCACUCACACCCCAGAAUGAGACAAAGACCUAAGAGGCUAAGACUGCAGCUAAGUGAAACUUUUCUUUCAAAUCUAAUUGGUAUGUGGAGAGUAAUCUUGUAUUAGCCAAAGAAGAAGGGAUAUAUGUCUUGAUUACAGACUAUGUUGAGGGUUGUCCAUGAUACUGGAUCAGCCUUGCCCCAAAUGAUCUAAGCCAGCCUUGUGCGGUACCACAGACAUAUCUUAUAGUAUGAUACCAAUAUAAGUCAAUGAUUAGCAAAUGGCUUCACAGGGGCAAGGUGGAUAACAUAUAUCACUUCCACAUAUAAUGGCAUGGUCCACUUUGUCAACGUUCAUAGUUUUAUUAUUUCUCUCGUUUUUUUUUUUGUGUGUGCAUGUGUGCGCGCAUGCAUGUUUGCGAGUAUUGCAUUUGCAUAUCUAGUAAUCUCGUUUUAUUACUUGGUUCUUGCAGAGCAUGUAUAGACAAUACUGCCUGCAGUGACUGCACACUGGUUAAGUCUGCCACCCAUGUUGGCAUCAUCCUUUCGAUGGAUCACCUGAAUUCCAUGAAAGUGGCUUCUAGGCGCUAAUUUUCCUAUAAAUGUACCGAGCUGUUGGAAGUGGUGCAGGUACCGAGCGACCUGGACCCUAGUGAAUGUUAGGAGAGAAAUGUGGAAUUCCCACCAUAAUAUACUGUUUCAAUUAUGGAACAUUUUAGGAGAGAAACAGAAACCUCUUGAAAAAUAUGCUGGAGAAAGGACCAUUGCCUGGCUUGAUAAAGUAAGAAACUCAAAUGAUUCACUGUCAACUUCAAAAAUUCAUCUCAACAUGCAACGGGUAAUGCAAAACAAUGCUGCUGUUUUUCGAACUCAAGAAACACUAGGAGAAGGUUGUCAGUUAAUUGACAAAGCAUGGGAGAGUUUUCAUGAUGUCAAAAUUUGUGAUCGGAGUUUGAUAUGGAAUUCUGAAUUAAUAUAAACAGUAGAGCUGGAAAAUCUUCUAAUAAAUGCAUGUAUAACUACGCACUCAGCUGAGGCAAGGAAGGAGAGUAGAGGAGCUCAUGCUCGUGAAGAUUUUACGAAAAGAGAUGAUGAGAACUGGUUGAAACAUUCACUAGGGUCAGUAUCUAUUAUCUCCUAUCUGACAUUAGCAUCUCCAAAGCUUACAUUGCUUCCGAUGGCAGAUGGUUGGUGCACCUUAGGCUCAAAAAGGCACUCUGAUCGCUAUAUCGAAAACAUCCCUUUCCUCGAAUAUUCAGGCCUCUCCCUAUGGCCCCAGUCUGCCCCACCCCGCCGCCACUUCUUUGGACCCUAAUAUCAAUGGGUAAUAGAUUCUAGGGGCAUGGCGGCGGCGGUAGAACAGUCCAUGCAGAGCCAUUUGCAGAAAUGGUUCUGACAACUGAUUGGAUUGCAUAAUUUGCUUUUUCUUUGCUUUUGGUUGUGGGCUGAACGCAGCGUUCCAUGUGACGGAUCGGCUAGAAAGAAAAACAAAUGGAUUGAAGACCAUGGAGUACAUUCAGAAGGUAUGGCACUGCCCUCAUUUUUCUUUUCUUUUGUUUUCUUUUUUCCUAUCAAUUGAUAUUACCACAGUUGACGGCAUAAGAUAUAUGUUUCUUUUAGCUGCUGUAGCGGAUAGAGAGCCUAGAUUGAUAUACUUAUUGAAGUAAUUAAGUGGGUUCCUUGGAGAUCUUGAGGGCCUUUAGGACAUAAGUGACCAAGUUAAUAACAGUUUUGUUUUUAUCACAUGGUAUUUGGUUUUAGUGAUUGUCUUGGUGAAUUUUGUCAUCAAAUAUAUGGAAAGGAACAUGAGGUGCGCGGCCUUAACAGAGUAGUAGCCUUGUGGCCUCUCACUUUGUGUCGAGGAUUGGCAGAAAAUACAUAUUCUUGCUUAGAGAACUUUUUCUGUUAGAAACUUUGAUGUCUUGAUUAUUUCAGUAAAUUAUAUAUAGCUUUU